Molecule: ribosomal RNA, 496 nt
Filed under: uncultured bacterium
Lineage: Bacteria
Description: partial 16S ribosomal RNA
Rfam family: Bacterial small subunit ribosomal RNA
Source: RNAcentral
AUUGAACGCUGGCGGAAUGCUUUACACAUGCAAGUCGAACGGUAGAGGGGGCAACCCCUCGAGAGUGGCGAACGGGUGAGUAAUAUAUCGGAACGUGCCCAGUCGUGGGGGAUAACGUAGCGAAAGUUACGCUAAUACCGCAUACGAUCUAAGGAUGAAAGCGGGGGAUCGCAAGACCUCACGCGAUUGGAGCGGCCGAUAUCAGAUUAGGUAGUUGGUGGGGUAAAGGCUCACCAAGCCAACGAUCUGUAGCUGGUCUGAGAGGACGACCGGCCACACUGGAGCGACGACACGGUCCAGACUCCUACGGGAGGCAGCAGUGGGGAAUUUUGGACAAUGGACGCAAGUCGGAUCCAGCCAUUCCGCGUGCAGGAUGAAGGCCCUCGGGUUGUAAACUGCUUUUGUACGGAACGAAAAGGUCUCUCUUAAUACGGGGGGCUCAUGACGGUACCGUAAGAAUAAGCACCGGCUAACUACGUGCCAGCCGCCGCGGUAA